Molecule: ribosomal RNA, 453 nt
Filed under: uncultured bacterium
Lineage: Bacteria
Description: partial 16S ribosomal RNA
Rfam family: Bacterial small subunit ribosomal RNA
Source: RNAcentral
AUUGAACGCUGGCGGCAUGCCUUACACAUGCAAGUCGAGCGGUAACACUUCGGGUGACGAGCGGCGGACGGCUGAGUAACACGUAGGAAUCUACCCCAGACUGAGGGAUAAGCACCGGAAACGGUGUCUAAUACCGCAUACGCUCUAAGGAGUAAAGCUUCGGCGGUUUGGGAAGAGCCUGCGCAUGAUUAGCUUGUUGGUAAGGUAAUGGCUUACCAAGGCGACGAUCAUUAGCUGGUCUGAGAGGAUGAUCAGCCAGACUGGGACUGAGACACGGCCCAGACUCCUACGGGAGGCAGCAGUAGGGAAUUUUCCACAAUGGGCGAAAGCCUGAUGGAGCAACGCCGCGUGCAGGAUGAAGGCCUUCGGGUUGUAAACUGCUUUUAUAUGUGAAGAUUAUGACGGUAGCAUAUGAAUAAGGAUCGGCUAACUCCGUGCCAGCCGCCGCCGUAA